RNAcentral lists this ribosomal RNA (395 nucleotides) under uncultured bacterium. Its description in RNAcentral is "partial 16S ribosomal RNA". It matches the Rfam family "Bacterial small subunit ribosomal RNA", at positions 523 to 918 of the family's 1533-position model. The record is from RNAcentral.
AUACGUAGGGGGCGAGCGUUGUCCGGAAUGAUUGGGCGUAAAGGGCGCGUAGGCGGCGCGGUAAGUCUGGAGUGAAAGUCCUGCUUUCAAGGUGGGAAUUGCUUUGGAUACUGCCGCGCUUGAGUGCAGGAGAGGUUAUCGGAAUUCCCGGUGUAGCGGUGAAAUGCGGAGAGAUCGGGAGGAACACCUGUGGCGAAGGCGUCUUCCUGGGACAAUACUGACGCUCAUGUGCGAAGGCAAGGGGAGCGAAGGGGAGUUGAUACCCCGGUAGUCCUAGCCGUAAACGAUGGAUACUAGGUGUGGGUGUCGCAGGGCAUCCGUGCCGCAGCUAACGCGUUAAGUAUCCCGCCUGGGGACUACGGUCGCAAGACUGAAACUCAAAUGAAUUGACGGGG